This is a long non-coding RNA of Panonychus citri (citrus red mite), 1351 nucleotides long. RefSeq lists it as uncharacterized. The transcript is spliced from 3 exons. The record is from RefSeq and is a predicted model, not a curated record. NCBI's taxonomy places the organism in Eukaryota, Metazoa, Arthropoda, Arachnida, Trombidiformes, Tetranychidae.
CGGUCAUCAGAUGGAGAUGCUGAACUUGAUUUAGGAUAUUGAAGUUGUGAAUCCUCUUCUGACCGAGUUAAUUGAAAUUCACCUAAAUUAAUAAUAUCAAGUGAACCAAGAAAAAUUAUAUUAAUCACCAACGUGAAAAGGACUUGUUACCAAUUCAGAUGAGAAUUAACUUUGCCAAUGAAGAAAGAAAAAGAAUCAAGAGAAAGAGACAACUCAAGAAAGAGGAGAAAGGACCAAACCCUAAACAGCCAUUACAACUACUAAAUAGUUAUUACAAUUCUAAUACAACUGAUCAACCCAUGGAAAUAAAUAACAAUUUUGAUGAUGAUGUGAUUUAACGUUUAAAAUUGGGCAAUUAUGUUGUAAAAAUGGAUGGAUAUUUAUAUGAGACUGUAUAACAAUGGCAAUUAGGAUGAUGAUAAAUAAUAAUCUUUCGGAAUGAUAAUGAUGAAGAGAGAGAAAACAUCAACAUAUAAGUGUAACAUUGUAACAACAACAUUAUAACGAUAAUGAAAACGAUCAAUUAUGGAAGAUGAUAAUGAUGAUAAAGCAAGAAAUCGAUUUUCAGUCAUCACAUAAAUUAACUGAAUGGUUUUUGGAACUUGAUUCAACAGCAGCAUGGAGAUGGAGCAAUGGAAAAUGCAGAUGAGGAAAGUGAAAAAAAAAGACGAAAAAUUUUCUCUAAAAGAAGACUAUCAAAGAGAAAAAAAGAAGAAGAAGAAAAUAAUAAAGGAUGAUGAUGAUGAUGGCAAAGAAGAUGGAAAAAGCCACUGUGCAAAACUAAUAAUAACUACGCGACCAGGAUAUCAUUUUUCAUGCUACCUUGAGAGAGAGUAAAAAGACUUGACGUUUACGGAUCAUUUUUAUUUUUCUUCAUCAUCUCCAUCAUUUUGUUUCUUCAUAUUUACUAUAUUUAUCAUCAUUAUCCCAGAGCAACUGUUUCUCUCUACCUGGUAUUAAUAUUACCCUCACUGUAUGGGAUUACAGGGUAUUUAAAAUUAACUCAACCUCACACACACACAACAGCUACUAUUUAAUGACAUAUAAUACCAUCAAACCAUAACGAUUUAAAUUGUGAGCGUAUAAGCUAAGUUACCAUUGUUGAUUGUUACUCACCUAAUUUACGACACAAUCCACCAGUACAGUUUUUCACAUGUGAUUCAGGACCAGGACAGUCUCGUCCACCAUAUUUGGCUGGAGGAUUUGUACAGCAAAUUUAGGUUUCACUCCGUGGAAAUUACCUGCUGACAAUCAUGGGAACAAGUUGACCAAGAUGUCCAAGGAGACCAUUGACCGUCAACGGGACCACAAAUUUUGUAGCAAUUUGGUAUUUCGGCUGAAUCAUCAUCAC